GCCCGUUUGGCUUAGGGGUACAGCGUCCCACUCGUAAUGGGAAGAUCCGCGGUUCGAUUCCGCGAAUGGGCA
RNAcentral lists this transfer RNA (72 nucleotides) under Blumeria hordei DH14. RNAcentral's name for it is "tRNA-Thr (CGT) (tRNA-Thr-CGT-2-1)". It matches the Rfam family "tRNA". From Rfam's summary of the family: Transfer RNA (tRNA) molecules are approximately 80 nucleotides in length. Their secondary structure includes four short double-helical elements and three loops (D, anti-codon, and T loops). Further hydrogen bonds mediate the characteristic L-shaped molecular structure. tRNAs have two regions of fundamental functional importance: the anti-codon, which is responsible for specific mRNA codon recognition, and the 3' end, to which the tRNAs corresponding amino acid is attached (by aminoacyl-tRNA synthetases). tRNAs cope with the degeneracy of the genetic code in two manners: having more than one tRNA (with a specific anti-codon) for a particular amino acid; and 'wobble' base-pairing, i.e. permitting non-standard base-pairing at the 3rd anti-codon position. Lineage: Eukaryota; Fungi; Ascomycota; Leotiomycetes; Helotiales; Erysiphaceae. The record is from RNAcentral.